RNAcentral lists this ribosomal RNA (913 nucleotides) under uncultured archaeon. RNAcentral describes it as "bacterial SSU rRNA". It matches the Rfam family "Archaeal small subunit ribosomal RNA", at positions 1 to 922 of the family's 1478-position model. The record is from RNAcentral.
UUCCGGUUGAUCCUGCCGGAGGCGACCGCUUUUGGAGUUCGAUUAAGCCAUGCGAGUAGAAAGAAAUUAGAUUCUUUGCGAACUGCUCAGUAACACGUGGAUAACCUGCCCUAUGCUCCGGAAUAACCUCGGGAAACUGAGAAUAAUACCGGAUAGAUCACAACGCCUGGAACGGUGUGUGGUUGAAAGAUUACGGCAUAGGAUGGGUCUGCGGCGUAUCAGGUUGUAGGGGGUGUAAAGGACCUCCUAGCCAUCGACGCGUACGGGUGUUGGGAGACAUAGCCCGGAGAUGGAUUCUGAGACACGAAUCCAGACCCUACGGGGUGCAGCAGGCGCGAAAACUUCACACUGCAGGAAACUGUGAUGAGGGAACUCCAAGUGCACGCACUUAGUGUGUGCUUUUUUCAACUAUUAAUCGGUUGAAGAAUAAGGGCUGGGAAAGACCGGUGCCAGCCACCGCGGUAAUACCGGCAGCUCAAGUGGUCGUCGCUUUUAUUGGGCCUAAAACGUCCGUAGCCUGUUUGGUAAAUCUGUGGGUAAAUCAACCAGCUUAACUGGUUGAAUUCUGCAGAGACUGCCAGACUAGGGACCGGGAGAGGUGUGGGGUACUCUAGGGGUAGGGGUAAAAUCCUGUCAUCCUUAGAGGACCACCAGUUGCGAAGGCGCCACACUGGAACGGAUCCGACGGUCAGGGACGAAGCCUAGGGGCACGAACCGGAUUAGAUACCCGGGUAGUCCUAGGUGUAAACGCUGUGAACUUGGUGUCGGGGAUCCGUCAUGGGUCCCCGGUGCCGGAGUGAAGAUGUUAAGUUCACUGCCUGGGGAGUACGGUCGCAAGGCUGAAACUUAAAGGAAUUGGCGGGGGAGCACUGCAACGGGAGGAGCGUGCGGUUUAAUUGGAUUCAACGCCGGA